RNAcentral lists this ribosomal RNA (336 nucleotides) under uncultured Pseudomonadota bacterium. RNAcentral describes it as "bacterial SSU rRNA". It matches the Rfam family "Bacterial small subunit ribosomal RNA", at positions 29 to 351 of the family's 1533-position model. The record is from RNAcentral. Lineage: Bacteria; Pseudomonadati; Pseudomonadota.
AGCGAACGCUGGCGGCGUGCCUAACACAUGCAAGUCGAACGUGAACGGGGGCAACUCCUAGUAAAGUGGCGUACGGGUGAGUAACGCGUAGGCAAUCUACCCCAGAGUCUGGAAUAACCGGCCGAAAGGCUGGCUAAUACUGGAUAGAGCGACGGAAUCCGUAAUUGGGUUUUUCGGGAAAGGGAGGUCGUAAGAUCCCUUGCUCUGGGAUGAGCCUGCGUCCCAUCAGCUAGUUGGUAAGGUAAUGGCUUACCAAGGCGAUGACGGGUAGCUGGUCUGAGAGGAUGAUCAGCCACACUGGAACUGAAACACGGUCCAGACUCCUACGGGUGGCUG